GACCCCUGUACUGGGGCAAAACACAACGCUGGCUGGAAAUCUUACACAAGUGGUGCAGCAAGAAUGAACUCACAGUUCUGACUGUGAUUUCACAAAUGUUUGUUUGUUGUUCUCUAUCCCAGAGAGCUGUGUUUAGCAAUCCAUGGAACAGCACACCAGGACUUCAACAAGAUGGUGUGAUAGUGGCUGGGGGUUUCAUUUGAGAAACAGAAGCUGUGGUGUAGAACUCUUUAGCCAGAAGUUUCAGCAUAAUUGUCUUUCCUCUUAAAAAUGCUAGUCUGGCAGCAUCCCUUGCCUUGCCAGCAGCAGUUUACAAAGGCCAGACCAGGAUUAAAAGACUUAGCUUCACAUUCCUAAAAGCAGUGCAAAACUUUCCACCCAAAUUAGCUGGCAACUCCUCUUUGGAUAUCACGAACACAAAAACAUGUUGUAAAAGAUGAAUCAUCUCUGGAUAACUCAGAUAUCUUACCCUAAGGACUGCAUCACUGUCCCUUGUUUUCAUGACUUGCACUGCUGUAGACUCUGAGAAACCUACUCAUGAAGGACUGAGAUCCACAAGACUGGAGUCGAGAUGCCGCUUCAGGUGUGAUCCAGUCCCUCAGGCACCCAGCACGAGGCAGGCAGGAAUGCCUUACAGUGAGUUUGGAACCCACCUGCACACCAAGCAGGGAGCACCUGAGAGCUGCCCCUUAGGAAACACUUGGGCACAGGAUGGGUCUGUAACUCUAUCCUGACAACAUCCUGCAGAAGAGACAUGUAAUA
Passer domesticus (house sparrow) is the source of this 762-nucleotide long non-coding RNA. RefSeq lists it as uncharacterized. The record is from RefSeq and is a predicted model, not a curated record. The transcript is spliced from 3 exons. NCBI's taxonomy places the organism in Eukaryota, Metazoa, Chordata, Aves, Passeriformes, Passeridae.